AGAAACAGCAGUAGCCGCGGUAAUACAGAGGGUGCGAGCGUUAAUCGGAUUUACUGGGCGUAAAGCGUGCGUAGGCGGCUUCUUAAGUCGGAUGUGAAAUCCCUGAGCUUAACUUAGGAAUUGCAUUCGAUACUGGGAAGCUAGAGUAUGGGAGAGGAUGGUAGAAUUCCAGGUGUAGCGGUGAAAUGCGUAGAGAUCUGGAGGAAUACCGAUGGCGAAGGCAGCCAUCUGGCCUAAUACUGACGCUGAGGUACGAAAGCAUGGGGAGCAAACAGGAUUAGAUACCCCAGUAGUCCCUGUCUCUUAUAC
This 309-nucleotide ribosomal RNA is filed under the name uncultured bacterium. RNAcentral describes it as "partial 16S ribosomal RNA". It matches the Rfam family "Bacterial small subunit ribosomal RNA", at positions 504 to 807 of the family's 1533-position model. The record is from RNAcentral.